CCUACGGGAGGCAGCAGUGAGGAAUAUUGGUCAAUGGGCGCGAGCCUGAACCAGCCAAGUCGCGUGAGGGAUGAAGGUUCUAUGGAUCGUAAACUUCUUUUAUAAGGGCAUAAAGUGUGGGACGUGUCCUAUUUUGUAUGUACCUUAUGAAUAAGGAUCGGCUAACUCCGUGCCAGCAGCCGCGGUAAUACGGAGGAUCCGAGCGUUAUCCGGAUUUAUUGGGUGUAAAGGGUGCGUAGGUGGCCUUUUAAGUCAGCGGGGAAAGUCUGUGGCUCAACCGUAGAAUUGCAGUUGAAACUGGCAGUCUUGAGUAUAUUAGAGGUGGGCGGAAUGCGUGGUGUAGCGGUGAAAUGCUUAGAUAUCACGCAGAACCCCGAUUGCGAAGGCAGUCUACUGGGCCAUAACUGACGCUGAUGCACGAAAGCGUGGGGAUCAAACAGGAUUAGAUACCCUAGUAGUC
RNAcentral lists this ribosomal RNA (460 nucleotides) under uncultured bacterium. RNAcentral describes it as "partial 16S ribosomal RNA". It matches the Rfam family "Bacterial small subunit ribosomal RNA", at positions 338 to 795 of the family's 1533-position model. The record is from RNAcentral.